RNAcentral lists this ribosomal RNA (781 nucleotides) under uncultured Achromobacter sp. Its description in RNAcentral is "bacterial SSU rRNA". It matches the Rfam family "Bacterial small subunit ribosomal RNA", at positions 9 to 785 of the family's 1533-position model. The record is from RNAcentral. Lineage: Bacteria; Pseudomonadati; Pseudomonadota; Betaproteobacteria; Burkholderiales; Alcaligenaceae.
GAGUUUGAUCAUGGCUCAGAUUGAACGCUAGCGGGAUGCCUUACACAUGCAAGUCGAACGGCAGCACGGACUUCGGUCUGGUGGCGAGUGGCGAACGGGUGAGUAAUGUAUCGGAACGUGCCCAGUAGCGGGGGAUAACUACGCGAAAGCGUAGCUAAUACCGCAUACGCCCUACGGGGGAAAGCAGGGGAUCGUAAGACCUUGCACUAUUGGAGCGGCCGAUAUCGGAUUAGCUAGUUGGUGGGGUAACGGCUCACCAAGGCGACGAUCCGUAGCUGGUUUGAGAGGACGACCAGCCACACUGGGACUGAGACACGGCCCAGACUCCUACGGGAGGCAGCAGUGGGGAAUUUUGGACAAUGGGGGAAACCCUGAUCCAGCCAUCCCGCGUGUGCGAUGAAGGCCUUCGGGUUGUAAAGCACUUUUGGCAGGAAAGAAACGUCAUGGGUUAAUACCCCGUGAAACUGACGGUACCUGCAGAAUAAGCACCGGCUAACUACGUGCCAGCAGCCGCGGUAAUACGUAGGGUGCAAGCGUUAAUCGGAAUUACUGGGCGUAAAGCGUGCGCAGGCGGUUCGGAAAGAAAGAUGUGAAAUCCCAGAGCUUAACUUUGGAACUGCAUUUUUAACUACCGGGCUAGAGUGUGUCAGAGGGAGGUGGAAUUCCGCGUGUAGCAGUGAAAUGCGUAGAUAUGCGGAGGAACACCGAUGGCGAAGGCAGCCUCCUGGGAUAACACUGACGCUCAUGCACGAAAGCGUGGGGAGCAAACAGGAUUAGAUAC